AGUGAACGCUGGCGGUAGGCCUAACACAUGCAAGUCGAACGGCAGCACAGUAAGAGCUUGCUCUUACGGGUGGCGAGUGGCGGACGGGUGAGGCAUACAUCGGAAUCUACUUUUUCGUGGGGGAUAACGUAGGGAAACUUACGCUAAUACCGCAUACGACCUACGGGUGGAAGCAGGGGAUCUUCGGACCUUUCGCGAUUGAAUGAGCCGAUGUCGGAUUAGCUAGUUGGCGGGGUAAAGGCCCACCAAGGCGACGAUCCGUAGCUGGUCUGAGAGGAUGAUCAGCCACACUGGAACUGAGACACGGUCCAGACUCCUACGGGAGGCAGCAGUGGGGAAUAUUGGACAAUGGGCGCAAGCCUGAUCCAGCCAUACCGCGUGGGUGAAGAAGGCCUUCGGGUUGUAAAGCCCUUUUGUUGGGAAAGAAAAGCAGCAGGUUAAUACCCCGCUGUUCUGACGGUACCCAAAGAAUAAGCACCGGCUAACUUCGUG
RNAcentral lists this ribosomal RNA (492 nucleotides) under uncultured bacterium. Its description in RNAcentral is "partial 16S ribosomal RNA". It matches the Rfam family "Bacterial small subunit ribosomal RNA", at positions 29 to 507 of the family's 1533-position model. The record is from RNAcentral.